AUUGCAGUGAUGAGGCUGUUAACAUAUAAGUUGAACCAACUCUGUGUUGGUUCAUCCAUGAAAUACCUUUGUUACGCUUGGCUUCUGAGCUUU
Daucus carota subsp. sativus is the source of this 93-nucleotide non-coding RNA. Lineage: Eukaryota; Viridiplantae; Streptophyta; Magnoliopsida; Apiales; Apiaceae. The record is from Rfam.